AGUGUUGUACUUUAAUAAAAAGUUUAAUUUUGCAAGUUAAGAUUGGCAUAAAAUAGGCCCUACACUA
Molecule: transfer RNA, 67 nt
Filed under: Hiatella sp. J HML-2015
Lineage: Eukaryota; Metazoa; Mollusca; Bivalvia; Adapedonta; Hiatellidae
Also listed under: 1 other name
Description: tRNA-Ala
Source: RNAcentral